CUUACACACACAGAUCCAGCAAUAAACGCGGAAAGAAUGUCCGCAACAGUGGACGUAACCCUGCAACAGUGUGUGCUUUCACACAGCGAUCCAGCUUUCCAGGUUAGACCGUGAAAAGAAAAGAAAACGUGACUUGUAACAGUGUUGAAACGCCACACCUGUUCCGCCAUGCCGGUGUGGCUUUUCACUACUUUCUCUAUCUAUUUACUAACAGCUGUGUUUUUUUAAAUUAAUUCUGGGAUGAUUGCUGUGUCAGUCUGAAUUCCAGGAUCCGGGUUGAGUUGUGUCCUCCCUGAUGGAGAAGAUGAGUCUGUUAGUAUUUUUAUUAUGAUUAACUGUGUUUGCAGAUUUACAUCCUGCAGCUGCAGCACCAGCAGUGGUGGAGUCUACGUGAUACGCAGGGAUACGAUGACACGAACGUUAAGGUUACUGAAACUACAGAAAACGAGCCGGAUGAGGUGAUGCUGUCGUAACGUUACCUGCAGGCGCUGCUCACCCGCCUGAUCGUCACACUGAACCUUUUCAGAAUCUGAACCAGAAUCAGCUUUAUUUGCCAGAACUACCAGCGUCAGCAUCACUACAACAACCCAGCAGCGACCCACCUCCAUCCACUGCCCGUGGGACUUCAUCUUGAGGACCACGCAGGGGUCGGGUUUGGACAGAGCAUCGCGGUCCGAGAUCCCCUUGCAGCAAACGUGUGUUGCAUGGAACUAUUUCACUCGAGUGUUUCACUGAAAAAAGAAAGUGUGUGAGAGGAGUAACCUGUCCUGUUGAGCAGCUUCUUCACCCGAGCUGUCAGGCUUUUGAAAACCCUGCCGCCAUCCACUGCAUGAUCAACAAGCACCACCACCACCACCACCACCAACCUCCCUCUGCACCUAACGGCUGCUGCACUUCACGUUCAAUUCAAUUCACCAGCAAUCAACAGUGUCCGACAGACGUGUUUGCCCUCUUGCACUUUUUAUCAGCGGAAACACUCUGAGUGCAGCAUGUCCAGCGUCGGUGUGUGAUUGAUCUCUGAUCUCACACAGCAGCUUCGGGCUCAUCGCCUCUAUCAUCUGAUAGAAACCCUGGAUGAUAACCUCCGCCCUCACAGGAAACCAUUUCUGCUGUGUCUGGAAGAAGCAAUCGUAUCUCCACCUCCAUCUCCAGCACUUCACCUCCCUCCAUUAUCCCAUCAGCAGCACUCCGGCUCAUCUGAUUAACCCCCGGCAGCAUCCGGUCGCCUCCAACAGGCCGUCAGGAUUCUUGUCUACAGGAGGAAGUUAUAGAUAUCCGCCAACGAUAUCUCCAACGGCUCGGGUUGCACGGGAUGUAAAGGCAAAGAGAAGGUUCACUGUUAGAGUCCAGGGGUCUCAUUUAUAAAACUGUGCGUAGGAAAGAGAAAAUAAAAAUUUUUAAUUAAAGGUUGUGUAUGCAGCGUUUUUAAAUGAGACCUUUUAACAGCAGACCACAGAUCAGUUCUCUUAACUGAACUUCAGAGGGUUUCGCUUUUCACCACUCUGCAUGCUGCUGCUGGAGAAAGGGAGUAACAGUAACCGGUGUCCCUGAAAUCCCUUCUCAGACCGAUCAGAGGCAGGUUCCUCUGUUUCUUCUCUCAGAUGGAGUCUUUUGGAGGUCAAACUGUCACAGUCUUCUUGGUGUUUUGGGAGUUUGAUGUCUUCUUUAAGCCCUUCCGCUUUUGUUUUGUUCCUUAUGUUCAUUCGUUCUGCUUCCUGUCUUACUUUGAAAUCGUUCUUUCUUGUGUGUCUCAUGCUGCUUUUCCUCCCUGUCUUUCCCUCGAUUGUUUGCACCUGUCUCCUUCCCCAGAUUAUGAUCACUUGUGUCUCGUUAUUCUCACCCCUCCUGUGUAUAUUGUCUGUCAGUUGUUAACUGUGUGCUCGUUGUUCACCACUGUCUUCACCAGUGUUUGACUACCACCCACAGCUGUGCUCUCCAGUGUCUCGUCUUGAGUCUUGAGUCACCUUUUGGUCUCUGGAUUUUACUUUUUGUUCCACAGACUGUAUAAAAGAAGUGGACGUAGUCAUCGUAAUGUCGCCCGUUGGUUUGUGGAUUGUCAUUUUGAAGCCUUGAGUUUGGCCGUGUUAAA
Micropterus salmoides (largemouth bass) is the source of this 2089-nucleotide long non-coding RNA. RefSeq lists it as uncharacterized. NCBI's taxonomy places the organism in Eukaryota, Metazoa, Chordata, Actinopteri, Centrarchiformes, Centrarchidae. The record is from RefSeq and is a predicted model, not a curated record. The transcript has 7 exons.